UAUAGAUCCUAAUAUUGUCAC
This 21-nucleotide non-coding RNA is filed under the name Arabidopsis thaliana (thale cress). Lineage: Eukaryota; Viridiplantae; Streptophyta; Magnoliopsida; Brassicales; Brassicaceae. The record is from RNAcentral.